ACUCUGCCCAGUGAGGUUAAUUAAAUGGCCGCAGUAUUUUAACUGUGCGAAGGUAGCAUAAUAAUUAGUUUUUUAAUUGAAGACUAGAAUGAAAGAGUGGAUGAAAUUAUGACUGUCUCAGUUUAAAUAGUAUAAUUUUAUUUUGGGUAAAAAUUCCUAAAUGAGAUUAAGGGACGAGAAGACCCUAUAGAAUUUAAAAGUAUAUUUUUAAUAAGUAAUUUAAGAAUUAAGAGUUUUUUAUUAAUAUAUUUUUUUAUUGGGAAGAUAUUUAAAUUUAUUUAACUUUAUAUAAUUAUAAGUCAUUAAUUAGUGUUUUAGUAAAGAUUAAUUUAAUUAAUAAAGAAAAAAUUACCUUAGGGAUAACAGCGUAAUAAAUUUUUAAAGUUCAUAUUGGAAAAUUUGAUUGCGACCUCGAUGUUGAAUUAAAAUAAAAUUUAGGUGUAGAAGCUUAAUAUUUAAGUCUGUUCGACUUUU
This 474-nucleotide ribosomal RNA is filed under the name Primeuchroeus sp. M48. RNAcentral's name for it is "partial 16S ribosomal RNA". It matches the Rfam family "Bacterial large subunit ribosomal RNA", at positions 1856 to 2589 of the family's 2925-position model. The record is from RNAcentral. Lineage: Eukaryota; Metazoa; Arthropoda; Insecta; Hymenoptera; Chrysididae.